UAGGGAAUCUUCCACAAUGGGCGAAAGCCUGAUGGAGCAACGCCGCGUGUGUGAUGAAGGGUUUCGGCUCGUAAAACACUGUUGUAAGAGAAGAAUGACAUUGAGAGUAACUGUUCAAUGUGUGACGGUAUCUUACCNGAAAGGAACGGCUAAAUACGUGCCAG
RNAcentral lists this ribosomal RNA (164 nucleotides) under uncultured bacterium. RNAcentral describes it as "partial 16S rRNA". It matches the Rfam family "Bacterial small subunit ribosomal RNA", at positions 355 to 511 of the family's 1533-position model. The record is from RNAcentral.